Molecule: unclassified non-coding RNA, 272 nt
Filed under: plant metagenome
Description: partial contains small subunit ribosomal RNA, internal transcribed spacer 1, and 5.8S ribosomal RNA
Source: RNAcentral
UUUCCGUAGGUGAACCUGCGGAAGGAUCAUUAAUGAGUUGUCAUGGGGUUCGAUGCUGGCAGCCAGUUUUUGGAUGCAUGUGCUUGCCCUAACAAUCAUCUUCUUCCAAACACCUGUGCACAUUUUUGAGGGAGUCUUGAGUUGGUUGCCGCUCUUGGGUGAUUUUCUCACAUUCCCUUAAAUCAUUAUACGCUGUUAACAAUGUUGAACGUGCUCUGUGCCGCAAGGCCAUUAAUAUAAUACAACUUUUAACAACGGAUCUCUUGGCUCUC